ACUGGGCGUAAAGGGUGCGUAGGCUGGCUUUUAAGUCAGAUGUGAAAUCCAAUGGCUUAACCAUUGAACUGCAUUUGAAACUGAGAGCCUAGAGUUCAGAAGGGGCAGAUGGAAUUAGUGGUGUAGGGGUAAAAUCCGUAGAUAUCACUAGGAAUAUCAAAAGCGAAGGCGAUCUGCUGGGAUGAUACUGACGCUGAGGCACGAAAGCGUGGGGAGCAAACAGGAUUAGAUACCCUGGUAGUCCACGCCCUAAACGAUGAAUGCUAGUCGUCGGGGAGCUCGUCUCUUCGGUGAUGCACUUAACAGAUUAAGCAUUCCGCCUGGGGAGUACGGUCGCAAGAUUAAAACUCAAAGGAAUAGACGGGGACCCGCACAAGUGGUGGAGCAUGUGGUUUAAUUCGAAGAUACACGAAGAACCUUACCUGGCCUUGACAUGGUAGGAACCCUUAAGAGAUUAGGGGGUGCUAGCUUGCUAGAACCUACACACAGGUGCUGCACGGCUGUCGUCAGCUCGUGUCGUGAGAUGUUGGGUUAAGUCCCGCAACGAGCGCAACCCUCGUCAUUAGUUGCUAACAGUUAGGCUGAGCACUCUAAUGAGACUGCCUUCGUAAGGAGGAGGAAGGUGAGGACGACGUCAAGUCAUCAUGGCCCUUACGGCCAGGGCUACACACGUGCUACAAUGGGGCGUACAGAGAGCUGCAAUACCGCGAGGUGGAGCCAAUCUCUUAAAGCGUCUCUCAGUUCGGAUUGUUCUCUGCAACUCGAGAACAUGAAGCUGGAAUCACUAGUAAUCGUAGAUCAGCUAUGCUACGGUGAAUACGUUCCCGGGUCUUGUACUCACCGCCCGUCACACCAUGGGAGUUGAUUUCACCCGAAAUCGGGAUGCCAAACUGGCUACCGCUUACGGUGGAAUUAGCGACUGGGGUGAAGUCGUAACAAGGUAACC
Molecule: ribosomal RNA, 946 nt
Filed under: uncultured bacterium
Lineage: Bacteria
Description: bacterial SSU rRNA
Rfam family: Bacterial small subunit ribosomal RNA
Source: RNAcentral